This 1352-nucleotide ribosomal RNA is filed under the name Staphylococcus epidermidis. RNAcentral's name for it is "bacterial SSU rRNA". It matches the Rfam family "Bacterial small subunit ribosomal RNA", at positions 77 to 1410 of the family's 1533-position model. The record is from RNAcentral. Lineage: Bacteria; Bacillati; Bacillota; Bacilli; Caryophanales; Staphylococcaceae.
UCCUCAGACAUUAUCGGCGGACGGGUGAGUAACACGUGGAUAACCUACCUAUAAGACUGGGAUAACUUCGGGAAACCGGAGCUAAUACCGGAUAAUAUAUUGAACCGCAUGGUUCAAUAGUGAAAGACGGUUUUGCUGUCACUUAUAGAUGGAUCCGCGCCGCAUUAGCUAGUUGGUAAGGUAUACGGCUUACCAAGGCAACGAUGCGUAGCCGACCUGAGAGGGUGAUCGGCCACACUGGAACUGAGACACGGUCCAGACUCCUACGGGAGGCAGCAGUAGGGAAUCUUCCGCAAUGGGCGAAAGCCUGACGGAGCAACGCCGCGUGAGUGAUGAAGGUCUUCGGAUCGUAAAACUCUGUUAUUAGGGAAGAACAAAUGUGUAAGUAACUAUGCACGUCUUGACGGUACCUAAUCAGAAAGCCACGGCUAACUACGUGCCAGCAGCCGCGGUAAUACGUAGGUGGCAAGCGUUAUCCGGAAUUAUUGGGCGUAAAGCGCGCGUAGGCGGUUUUUUAAGUCUGAUGUGAAAGCCCACGGCUCAACCGUGGAGGGUCAUUGGAAACUGGAAAACUUGAGUGCAGAAGAGGAAAGUGGAAUUCCAUGUGUAGCGGUGAAAUGCGCAGAGAUAUGGAGGAACACCAGUGGCGAAGGCGACUUUCUGGUCUGUAACUGACGCUGAUGUGCGAAAGCGUGGGGAUCAAACAGGAUUAGAUACCCUGGUAGUCCACGCCGUAAACGAUGAGUGCUAAGUGUUAGGGGGGUUUCCGCCCCUUAGUGCUGCAGCUAACGCAUUAAGCACUCCGCCUGGGGGAGUACGACCCGCAAGGUUGAAACUCAAAAGGAAUUGACGGGGGACCCCGCACAAGCGGGUGGAGCAUGUGGGUUUAAUUCCGAAGCAACGCGAAGAACCUUACCAAAUCUUGACAUCCUCUGACCCCUCUAGAGAUAGAGUUUUCCCCUUCGGGGGACAGAGUGACAGGUGGUGCAUGGUUGUCGUCAGCUCGUGUCGUGAGAUGUUGGGUUAAGUCCCGCAACGAGCGCAACCCUUAAGCUUAGUUGCCAUCAUUAAGUUGGGCACUCUAAGUUGACUGCCGGUGACAAACCGGAGGAAGGUGGGGAUGACGUCAAAUCAUCAUGCCCCUUAUGAUUUGGGCUACACACGUGCUACAAUGGACAAUACAAAGGGCAGCGAAACCGCGAGGUCAAGCAAAUCCCAUAAAGUUGUUCUCAGUUCGGAUUGUAGUCUGCAACUCGACUAUAUGAAGCUGGAAUCGCUAGUAAUCGUAGAUCAGCAUGCUACGGUGAAUACGUUCCCGGGUCUUGUACACACCGCCCGUCACACCACGAGAG